Molecule: ribosomal RNA, 405 nt
Filed under: uncultured bacterium
Lineage: Bacteria
Description: partial 16S ribosomal RNA
Rfam family: Bacterial small subunit ribosomal RNA
Source: RNAcentral
GACGAACGCUGGCGGCGUGCUUAACACAUGCAAGUCGAACGAGUGGCGAACGGGUGAGUAAAACGUGGGUGAUCUGCCUUGAACUUCGGGAUAAGCUUGGGGAACUGGGUCUAAUACCGGCUAGUGCAAGCUGAGCUCGCGGCCUAUCAGCUUGUUGGUGGGGUAAUUGCUACGUAGGCGGGACGGGUAGCCGGCCUGCGAGGUUGUAAGGCCACAUUGGGCCUGAGAGAGGGACCAGAGGGCAACUGGCGGCAGCAGUGGAGAAUAUGGCACAAUGGGCGGAAGCCUGAUGCAGCGACUCCGGGUGGGGAAUGAUGGCCUGCGGGUUGUAAACUCCUUUGGACGGGGACGCGGUACCUGUAUAGAAAGCAACGGCUAACUACGUGCCAGCAGCCGCGGUAAUUC